UCGGGAAUUUUGGGCAAUGGGCGAAAGCCUGACGCAGUAACGCCGCGUGGAGGAUGAAGGCCUUCGGGUUGUAAACCGCUUUUGUCAGGGAAGAAAUCUCUUGGGCUAAUACCCCAGAAGGAUGACGGUACCUGAAGAAUAAGCACCGGCUAACUACGUGCCAGCAGCCGCGGUAAUACGUAGGGACCAAGCGUUGUUCGGAUUUACUGGGCGUAAAGGGCGCGUAGGCGGCAUGACAAGUCACUUGUGAAAUCUCUGGGCUUAACCCAGAACGGCCAAGUGAUACUGUCGCGCUAGAGUGCAGAAGGGGCAAUCGGAAUUCUUGGUGUAGCGGUGAAAUGCGUAGAUAUCAAGAGGAACACCUGAGGUGAAGACGGGUUGCUGGGCUGACACUGACGCUGAGGCGCGAAAGCCAGGGGAGCAAACGGGAUUAGAUACCCUGGUAGUCCCUGAGCGGGCUGGCAAGGCG
Molecule: ribosomal RNA, 469 nt
Filed under: uncultured bacterium
Lineage: Bacteria
Description: bacterial SSU rRNA
Rfam family: Bacterial small subunit ribosomal RNA
Source: RNAcentral